This is a non-coding RNA of Pristionchus pacificus, 61 nucleotides long. Lineage: Eukaryota; Metazoa; Nematoda; Chromadorea; Rhabditida; Neodiplogasteridae. The record is from Rfam.
UCUUCAUUCCACGUGCUCUCUCACGGGUCAGAGAGGCGAGAGAGCGUGUGAAAUGAAGAGC